This 77-nucleotide transfer RNA is filed under the name Paraglaciecola hydrolytica. RNAcentral's name for it is "tRNA-Arg". It matches the Rfam family "tRNA". From Rfam's summary of the family: Transfer RNA (tRNA) molecules are approximately 80 nucleotides in length. Lineage: Bacteria; Pseudomonadati; Pseudomonadota; Gammaproteobacteria; Alteromonadales; Alteromonadaceae. RNAcentral also lists the same sequence under 1 other name. The record is from RNAcentral.
GCGUGUGUAGCUCAGCUGGAUAGAGUACCUGGCUACGAACCAGGCGGUCGGAGGUUCGAAUCCUUCCACACGCACCA